This 360-nucleotide ribosomal RNA is filed under the name Triticum aestivum (bread wheat). Its description in RNAcentral is "partial small subunit ribosomal RNA". Lineage: Eukaryota; Viridiplantae; Streptophyta; Magnoliopsida; Poales; Poaceae. The record is from RNAcentral.
AUGUUACAUCGGUAUGCUCGGGAACUAUGCUUGAGAUAUGACUAUACUUGUUGCUCUAGGAUGAAGGCUCCACACCUUCCCUCUUCAUGCAAAUUAAAUGAUGAUAAAACCUUGGCUUCUUAUGCUAAUGGUAUAUAUGAUUACUAUGAUGUGGAACAAAUAGAAGAAUUUGUUGCUUUUAUGGGUGCUUAUGAAAUUGAAUCUUUGUUUAAAGAGUGUGAAAAUUUUGAUGAUUCGGUUUAUAGACCUGAAAAUUUAGCUAUCCUUAAAUAUUGCUAUGAGAAUUAUGAAUUCAAUUCCGAUAUUGAUGAUUUUAUUGAUAGAGUCUCCGCUGUCCAAGAAGAGACUAAUACUUUGUAG